UUACCAUCCUAUUUCUUCAUCUUUUUCCCUCGAUAUGAAGAAACCCUAAAUCAUUCUUCCUCACAAUCUAAGUCGUUCCUCUCAUCUCUCAAGGCGAUUCUUUAUCUUCCAAUAUUCCCUUCAUCAUCAUUGUGUGUUCUUGCACCUCUUGAUUUUCUUCAAGGUAAAGUGACGGCUCUUCUCUCAAACCCUAAUCCUCAAUUUUGCUUCAACCAUCCGCAGUCCAAAAGCCUACAAUCAUCAGUUUGUACAAGAUAGCUCUUAAAUUUGAGGCAAAGGCAGCAGUUAUGGUCUUCCAUAGUCCAUAUGAAUGGCAAUUUUACAGUAUGUUUUUGUUUUUUUAUCUCUCACGGUCAUGUUAAAUGUAGUUUUCAUUUGAAAUUAGAAGUAAGUCAGUAACAUUGAUGUUCCUUUUUUGUGAAACAACACACUAGGUGGCAGUCAUGUGGUGCCUAACGUACACUAAUAAAGAAAACAAGGAAAAUACUAUGUAAUGGUAUGGUAGUAACUUUCUUUUGCGUCUGUAUGAAACAUAGUUGUCGAUAGCGAAUAGCGACAAGGCAUGGCUAGGCUACGUAGCGAAUAGCGACGGCUAUUUUAUAAAUAGCGAUUACACUAGAAAAAGAUUUUUGAAAAUUUUUAUAUGUAUAUUACAUCAAAUUACCCUUGUAUAUAUGUUAUUUUACAUGUAUAUUUAACAAAAACUAAUAGUUAGUAGCAAAGGACUUAUAUGUUGGGUGUGUGAAUGAAAGUCUCAAAAGGUGGUAAAUACUUUGUCCCACAUCGGUGUGUUAACAAAGUUAGUGGUUGUUUAUAAGGUAAAGUCUUUACUACUCCAUUGUAGCUUUAUGACAUGUUUUACCACAAGUCCUACCCGCGCGCAGGGGUGGUGCAAAAAAUGAGUUUCUGAAUUGAAAUUUAACUGAACUCGUGCAUGCCCACACGAAUGCAGCUCCGAAAACCCCAGGCUCGCGUGGGCCAGUUUUUGCACAAUUUAACCUCUUUAUUUAUUUAUUUUUUGUAUUAAAGCCAAGGCCGUCAUCGCCAUUAACAGCUUAGCGACACUUGGACGCUUCGCCAUAAAGCGCGCUAUAGCGACUGCUAUGGUCGCAAUUAACAACUAUGGUAUGAAAAGCGAUACAACAUCAUAAAAAUAUGUUGUCUUUAUGUCUCUCACUCUUACAGGUCGUGGACACGCUUGGACCUAGCUUAUGGGACGUAUGGAAUUCUUUUGGGCAAUUGUGAGUCCUUAAGGUAGAACCGUUAAAAUCUCUCUCUCUCUCUCUCUCUCUCUCUCUCUUUCUUAUGUUAGUUGGUUUUAGUCCUUGCUCCUUUAUUUUGCUUUGACCUGGGUAUUUUGUUUGUCGACUCACAAAAUUAUGCAUAUUAAAAUGACAAAUUAACUUUAAAAUGGUUGGAUAGCAUCAACAUAGAUUCCCAAGACUGCAAGAAAGACUACAAAAUGUUUCCACCUUCAGUAAAUUUGGAUAAUAUUGAUUGGUCUACAACGAGGCUGCAAAUCGAUUUCCCUGUCCUGGUGGGCGUUACUAUGAAGGUUAGCACUAUUCAACUGGUCCCUUAGAAAUGUUGUUUUUGACACAAGUGGAUCCUAAAUUGGAACAAUAGCAAAGAUCUCAUCAUUUCUUUGUAAUUAUUUAAUGAUAUGAGUAUUCUACUACUCUAUAAUAAGUGGGAGUGAGGUUAGCAAAACAAGAUGGUGAUGGCGAUGGUCACUGGCGGAUACCACAUAUAGUAAAUUAUUAUUUUACAGUAAUAUUUUUUACUGUUCUAUGAAGUUGUUUUAAAUUUACAUUCUAAUAUUAUUAACAUUUUCAUUUUAUUAUGUAAUAAUGGCUCUCUAAACACAUCGUGUGAUUAAGUUAAUGAAAAGUUUGCAAGUCUUCUUAUAGCGAAGAC
This 1917-nucleotide long non-coding RNA is filed under the name Helianthus annuus (common sunflower). RNAcentral describes it as "hypothetical non coding rna". Lineage: Eukaryota; Viridiplantae; Streptophyta; Magnoliopsida; Asterales; Asteraceae. The record is from RNAcentral.